Drosophila innubila is the source of this 137-nucleotide long non-coding RNA. RefSeq lists it as uncharacterized. NCBI's taxonomy places the organism in Eukaryota, Metazoa, Arthropoda, Insecta, Diptera, Drosophilidae. The transcript is spliced from 2 exons. The record is from RefSeq and is a predicted model, not a curated record.
CUAAAAGUUGAUUUUCGACAGAUUGAUCCUAUGGCAGCUAUAUGAUACGAUUAACAGAUUUUAACCAAAUUUUCUCAGGAUGUCUAAUACCAGCCCAUAUGCAAAUUCUAGUAGUUUGGUUUUGAUAUCUCAACAAA